RNAcentral lists this ribosomal RNA (851 nucleotides) under uncultured bacterium. RNAcentral's name for it is "bacterial SSU rRNA". It matches the Rfam family "Bacterial small subunit ribosomal RNA", at positions 31 to 902 of the family's 1533-position model. The record is from RNAcentral.
GAACGCUGGCGGCGUGCCUAAAACAUGCAAGUCGAACGGUGUUCCCGCAAGGGGGCACAGUGGCGAACGGCUGAGUAACACGUGAGUGACCUGUCCUUGGGUGGGGGAUAACAGCCCGAAAGGGCUGCUAAUACCGCAUACGACCCCUAGAGUAGAGUCUGGGGGGGAAAGGUAUUUCGCCCGAGUGAGGGGCUCGCGGCCCAUCAGGUAGUUGGUUGGGGUAAUGGCCCACCAAGCCGAUGACGGGUAGCUGGUCUGAGAGGAUGGCCAGCCAGACUGGGACUGAGACACGGCCCAGACUCCUACGGGAGGCAGCAGUUAGGAAUCUUGCGCAAUAGGCGAAAGCCUGACGCAGCGACGCCGCGUGGACGAAGAAGGCCUUCGGGUCGUAAAGUCCUUUUCCGAGGGACGAUAAUGACGGUACCUCGGGAAUAAGCCCCAGCUAACUACGUGCCAGCAGCCGCGGUAAUACGUAGGGGGCAAGCGUUGUCCGGAUUUACUGGGCGUAAAGAGCGCGCAGGCGGCCUGGCAAGUCGAUUGUGAAAUCUCCGGGCUCAACUCGGAGGGGUCAGUCGAUACUGCUAGGCUUGUGAGGGCGGUAGGGGGAGAUGGAAUUCCCGGUGUAGUGGUGAAAUGCGUAGAUAUCGGGAGGAACACCGAUGGCGAAAGCGAUCUCCUGGGCCGCACCUGACGCUGAGGCGCGAAAGCGUGGGGAGCGAACUGAAUUAGAUACUCAGGUAGUCCACGCCCUAAACGAUGGACACUAGGUGUGGGGGGUAUCGACCCCUCCCGUGCCGCAGCUAACGCAAUAAGUGUCCCGCCUGGGGAGUACGGCCCGCAGGCUAAAACUC